GAUGAAGAACGCAGCGAAAUGCGAUACUUGGUGUGAAUUGCAGAAUCCCGUGAACCAUCGAGUCUUUGAACGCAAGUUGCGCCCGAAGCCAUUAGGCCGAGGGCACGCCUGCCUGGGCGUCACACGUCGUUGCCCCCCCAUCUACUCCUUCGGGAUUGCGGGGGGUGGAUGAUGGCCUCCCGUGCGCCUCGUCGCGCGGUUGGCAUAAAUGCCAAGUCCUCGGCGACGCACGCCACGACAAUCGGUGGUUGCGAAACCUCGGUUGCCCGUCGUGUGCGGUCGUCGCGCAUCGAGGGCUCGAAAAAAUUGCCGGGCUCCGGCUCGGCUUUCAACGCGACCCCAGGUCAGGCGGGGUUACCCGCUGAAUUUAAGCAUAUCAAUAAGCGGAGGA
This 391-nucleotide unclassified non-coding RNA is filed under the name soil metagenome. Its description in RNAcentral is "partial contains 5.8S ribosomal RNA, internal transcribed spacer 2, and large subunit ribosomal RNA". The stretch from base 1 to 122 matches the Rfam family "5.8S ribosomal RNA", at positions 35 to 154 of the family's 154-position model. The record is from RNAcentral.